AGAAAUUCAUAGGCAGUAUGGUUAUUCCUAGACCAGACGUAAUAAUAAUAAAACCGUCUUUUUGGGAAAGAAUUGUGCUUGCCUCAACCCACCCAUUAUCUUUUUACUUGGGUGACCUCAGAUCAGGUAGGGAUACCCGCUGAACUUAAGCAUAUCAAUAAGCGGAGGAAAAGAAACCAACAGGGAUUGCCUUAGUAACGGCGAGUGAAGCGGCAAAAGCUCAGAUUUGAAAUCUGGCGUCAUUUUGGCGUCCGAGUUGUAGUCUGUAGAGGAGCAUUCGAGUGUAGCGCUGGCUUAAGUUCCUUGGAACAGGGCGUCAUAGAGGGUGAGAACCCCGUUAACGGCCUUUGUCUUAUGCUCAUGUGAAUCUCCUUCAACGAGUCGAGUUGUUUGGGAAUGCAGCUCUAAAUGGGUGGUAAAUUCCAUCUAAAGCUAAAUACUGGCAAGAGACCGAUAGCGCACAAGUAGAGUGAUCGAAAGAUGAAAAGAACUCUGAACAGAGAGUUAAAUAGUACGUGAAAUUGUUGAAAGGGAAGCACUUGCGACCAGACACACUUGCAGUUGAUCAACCUCCAUUUUUGGUGGUGCACUCGGUUGUAGGUGGGUCAGCAUCAGUUACAGCGGUGGGAAAAAGACCGAGGGAAUGUGGC
RNAcentral lists this ribosomal RNA (650 nucleotides) under Pezizomycetes sp. genotype 39. RNAcentral's name for it is "eukaryotic LSU rRNA". The stretch from base 113 to 650 matches the Rfam family "Eukaryotic large subunit ribosomal RNA", at positions 1 to 540 of the family's 3401-position model. The record is from RNAcentral. Lineage: Eukaryota; Fungi; Ascomycota; Pezizomycetes.